RNAcentral lists this ribosomal RNA (849 nucleotides) under uncultured Neisseria sp. RNAcentral describes it as "bacterial SSU rRNA". It matches the Rfam family "Bacterial small subunit ribosomal RNA", at positions 34 to 873 of the family's 1533-position model. The record is from RNAcentral. Lineage: Bacteria; Pseudomonadati; Pseudomonadota; Betaproteobacteria; Neisseriales; Neisseriaceae.
CGCUGGCGGCAUGCUUACACAUGCAAGUCGGACGGCAGCACAGAGAAGCUUGCUUCUUGGGUGGCGAGUGGCGAACGGGUGAGUAACAUAUCGGAACGUACCGAGCAGUGGGGGAUAACUAAUCGAAAGAUUAGCUAAUACCGCAUAUAUUCUGAGGAAGAAAGCAGGGGACCAUUUGGCCUUGCGCUGUUUGAGCGGCCGAUAUCUGAUUAGCUAGUUGGUGGGGUAAAGGCCUACCAAGGCGACGAUCGGUAGCGGGUCUGAGAGGAUGAUCCGCCACACUGGGACUGAGACACGGCCCAGACUCCUACGGGAGGCAGCAGUGGGGAAUUUUGGACAAUGGGCGCAAGCCUGAUCCAGCCAUGCCGCGUGUCUGAAGAAGGCCUUCGGGUUGUAAAGGACUUUUGUCAGGGAAGAAAAGGGCGGGGUUAAUACCCCUGUCUGAUGACGGUACCUGAAGAAUAAGCACCGGCUAACUACGUGCCAGCAGCCGCGGUAAUACGUAGGGUGCGAGCGUUAAUCGGAAUUACUGGGCGUAAAGCGGGCGCAGACGGUUACUUAAGCAGGAUGUGAAAUCCCCGGGCUCAACCUGGGAACUGCGUUCUGAACUGGGUGACUAGAGUGUGUCAGAGGGAGGUAGAAUUCCACGUGUAGCAGUGAAAUGCGUAGAGAUGUGGAGGAAUACCGAUGGCGAAGGCAGCCUCCUGGGAUAACACUGACGUUCAUGCCCGAAAGCGCGGGUAGCAAACAGGAUUAGAUACCCUGGUAGUCCACGCCCUAAACGAUGUCGAUUAGCUGUUGGGCAGCAUGACUGCUUAGUAGCGAAGCUAACGCGUGAAAUCGACCGCC